AUGUACGUAGACUCCCCUUUCAUUCAAGAAGUGGAGACAGCGUUGGACCAGGCCCGGGCUCUAGGCGCAGCCUCCGGCCCAGGCUGGAGGGUUCAGGGCGGAGGCCUGGGGGGACCCGGCCCCUCGCUGGCUCCCCUCGCGUCUGCAGCCGCAGGGCCGGAGGCAGCCACGGCGCUCAGCCGGAAUGGCAUGAUCUCGAAGCCCCAUUUCCACAAGGACUGCAGCGGCGCCUGGCCACGUGGUUCCACCAGCCGGCCCGGAUGACCCGCAGGCGCCAGGCGGGGCAAGCCAAGGCGCGCAGCCUCGCCCCGCCCCGCCCCGCCCGGAUCCGGCGCAACGUGCGCUGCUACCACGCGAAGGUGCGCACGGCCGCGGCUGCCGCCUGCAGGAGCUCAGGGUAGCCGGCAUGCACAAGAAGCUGGCCCGGACCACCGGCGUUUCUGUGGAUCGGAGGAGGCGGAGUCCCUGCAGGCCAACACGCAGCGGCUGAAGGAGCCCCGCUCCAAACUCAUCCGCUUCCCCAGGAAGCCCUCGGCGCCCAAGAAGGGAGACGGUUCUGCUGAAGAACUGAAACAGGCCACUCAGCUGAGAGGGCCGGUCAUGCCCGUCCCGAAUGCCUAUAAGGAGAAAGCUCGAGUCAUCACUGAGGAGGAGAAUGUCGAGGCCUUCGCUAAUCUCCGCCUGGCGCGUGCCAACGCCCGGCUCUUCGGCAUCCCGGCGAAAAGAGCCAAGGAAGCUGCAGAACAAGAUGUUGAAAAGAAAAAAUAAAGCCCUCCUGGGGACUUGCAAUCAGUCAGCAGUUAUGCUGGGUCUCCACGUGAUGUAUUUCCCGGGAGCAACUGGGCCUGGGAUGGGGCUUCCUGACUGUGACUUCCUGGCAGGGGGUUUGGGGUUUUCUUGAAAGACAGUCCAAGCCCUGGAUUAUGCCUUCCUUUCGUGUUAAAGCA
This is an RNA transcript of Rhinopithecus roxellana (golden snub-nosed monkey), 947 nucleotides long. It is a transcript of the gene named 60S ribosomal protein L13 pseudogene, with no coding region annotated. The transcript is spliced from 2 exons. The record is from RefSeq and is a predicted model, not a curated record. Lineage: Eukaryota; Metazoa; Chordata; Mammalia; Primates; Cercopithecidae.